This 413-nucleotide unclassified non-coding RNA is filed under the name soil metagenome. RNAcentral describes it as "partial contains 5.8S ribosomal RNA, internal transcribed spacer 2, and large subunit ribosomal RNA". The stretch from base 1 to 120 matches the Rfam family "5.8S ribosomal RNA", at positions 35 to 154 of the family's 154-position model. The record is from RNAcentral.
GAUGAAGAACGCAGCGAAAUGCGAUAAGUAAUGUGAAUUGCAGAAUUCAGUGAAUCAUCGAAUCUUUGAACGCACCUUGCGCUCUUUGGUAUUCCGAAGAGCAUGCCUGUUUGAGUGUCAUGAAAAUAUCAACCUUGACUUGGGUUUUGUGCUCUAGUCUCGGCUUGGAAUUGGAUGCUUGCCGCUUUUACGAGCGGCUCACCUUAAAUGUAUUAGCUGGAUCUGUCUUUGAGACUUGGUUUGACUUGGCGUAAUAAGUAUUUCGCUAAGGACAUUCUUCGGAGUGGCCUCGUUUCUAGGACGCUUGUCCGCUUUCCAAUACAAGUUCCACCUCGUGGACAUGACUUUUUAUUAUCUGGCCUCAAAUCAGGUAGGACUACCCGCUGAACUUAAGCAUAUCAAUAAGCGGAGGA